ACCGCUGUAACGUCCGUAAGAGUACUCUAACCUCACUCGAACUUCCAUAACGUCCGUAAUAUCGCCGCAACUACCUAACGUCCGUAAAAGUGCCGUAACAUCACUCGAACAUCCAUAACGUCUGUCUUACGUCCGUAAGAGUGCCGUAACCUCACUCGAACAUCCGAAACGUCUGUCGAACAUCCGUAACGUCCGUAACAUCGCCGUAACGUCUGUCACAGCUCCGUGACAUCACAGAUGAUCGAAAUAACGCCGUAACGUCUGUCACACGUCCGUGACGACCGUAACAACGCCGUAAUGUCCGUCUGAAGUCCCUGACGUCCAUAACAACACCUUAACGUCUGUCACAGGUCCGUGACGUCACAGAUGAUGGAAACAACGCCGUAACGUCCGUAACAACGCCGUAACGUCUGUCACAGGUCCGUGACGUCACAGAUGAUCGAAACAACGCCGUAACGUCUGUCACAGGUCCGCGAUGUCACAUAUGAUGGAAACAACGCCGUAAAGUCUGUCACAGGUCCGUGACGUCACAGAUGAUCGAAACAAGGCCGUAACUUCUGUCACAGGACCGUGACGUCAUAGAUGAUCGAAACAACGCUGUAACGUCUCUCAGAGAUCUGUGACGUCACAGAUGAUAGAAAAACAACGCCGUAACUCCUGUCACAGGUCCGUGACGUCACAGAUGAUCGAAACAAGGCCGUAACUUCUGUAACAGGUCCGUGACGUCACAGAUGAUAGAAAAACAACGCCGUAACGUCUCUAAUAGAUCUGUGACGUCACAGAUGAUAUAAACAACGCCGUAACUUCUGUCACAGGUCCGUGACGUCACAGAUGAUAGAAACAACGCCGUAAUUUCUGUCACAGGUCCGUGACGUCACAGAUGAUAGAAAAACAACGCCGUAACGUCUCUAAUAGAUCGGUGACGUCACAGAUGAUAGAAACAACGCCGUAACUUCUGUCACAGGUCCGUGACGUCACAGAUGAUAGAAAAACAACGCCGUAACGUCUCUAAUAGAUCGGUGACGUCAGAGAUGAUAGAAACAACGCCGUAACUUCUGUCACAGGUCCGUGACGUCACAGAUGAUAGAAAAACAACUCCGUAACGUCUCUAAUAGAUCGGUGACGUCACAGAUGAUAGAAACAACGCCGUAACUUCUGUCACAGGUCCGUGACGUCACAGAUGAUAGAAAAACAACGCCGUAACGUCUCUAAUAGAUCGGUGACGUCACAGAUGAUAGAAAAAACGCCGUAAUUUCUGUCACAGGUCCGUGACGUCACAGAUGAUAGAAACAACGCCGUAACUUCUGUCACAGGUCCGUGACGUCACAGAUGAUAGAAAAACAACGCCGUAACGUCUCUAAUAGAUCGGUGACGUCACAGAUGAUAGAAACAACGCCGUAACUUCUGUCACAGGUCCGUGACGUCACAGAUGAUAGAAAAACAACUCCGUAACGUCUCUAAUAGAUCGGUGACGUCACAGAUGAUAGAAACAACGCCGUAACUUCUGUCACAGGUCCGUGACGUCACAGAUGAUAGAAAAACAACGCCGUAACGUCUCUAAUAGAUCGGUGACGUCACAGAUGAUAGAAACAACGCCGUAACUUCUGUCACAGGUCCGUGACGUCACAGAUGAUAGAAAAACAACGCCGUAACGUCUCUAAUAGAUCGGUGACGUCACAGAUGAUAGAAAAAACGCCGUAACUUCU
This is a long non-coding RNA of Vespula vulgaris, 1706 nucleotides long. RefSeq lists it as uncharacterized. The transcript is spliced from 5 exons. The record is from RefSeq and is a predicted model, not a curated record. NCBI's taxonomy places the organism in Eukaryota, Metazoa, Arthropoda, Insecta, Hymenoptera, Vespidae.